GGCUAACGCUGGCGGCGUGUCUUAGCCAUGCAAGUCGAGCGGACUUAUGGGGUAACUUAUAAGUCAGCGGCGGGCGGCGGAGUAACACGUAGCUAACCUACCCUCUGGACGGGGAUAACCUACCGAAAGGUGGGCUAAUACCCGAUGUAGUCAUCCUGUAUAGGGGUGAUGAAAGGUGGGCUUCUGUUUACAAGCUCAUGCUGGAGGAGGGGGCUGCGGCCUAUCAGGUAGUUGGUAGGGUAAUAGCCUACCAAGCCGAUGACGGGUAGCCGGCCUGAGAGGGUGAACGGCCACAAGGGGACUGAGAUACGGCCCUUACUCUUACGGGAGGCAGCAGUGGGGAAUAUUGGACAAUGGAGGAAACUCUGAUCCAGCAAUUCUGUGUGCACGAUGAAGGUUUUCGGAUCGUAAAGUGCUUUCAGUAGGGAAGAAGAAAGUGACGGUACCUACAGAAGAAGCGAACGGCUAAAUACGUAGCCAAGCAGCCGCGGUAAAGCUACGUAGA
This 505-nucleotide ribosomal RNA is filed under the name uncultured bacterium. Its description in RNAcentral is "bacterial SSU rRNA". It matches the Rfam family "Bacterial small subunit ribosomal RNA", at positions 28 to 531 of the family's 1533-position model. The record is from RNAcentral.